GAGGGUACGGCUCAGUGGUAGAGCGCAUGAUUAGCAUGCACAAGGUCCUGGGUUCAAUCCCCAGUGCCUCCA
RNAcentral lists this transfer RNA (72 nucleotides) under Camelus bactrianus (Bactrian camel). It matches the Rfam family "tRNA". From Rfam's summary of the family: Transfer RNA (tRNA) molecules are approximately 80 nucleotides in length. Their secondary structure includes four short double-helical elements and three loops (D, anti-codon, and T loops). RNAcentral also lists the same sequence under 2 other names. Lineage: Eukaryota; Metazoa; Chordata; Mammalia; Artiodactyla; Camelidae. The record is from Rfam by way of RNAcentral.